RNAcentral lists this transfer RNA (68 nucleotides) under Bathynella cf. rufa JHS-2017. RNAcentral describes it as "tRNA-Ile". Lineage: Eukaryota; Metazoa; Arthropoda; Malacostraca; Bathynellacea; Bathynellidae. The record is from RNAcentral.
GAUUGACCUCCUCUUAAAAGGUUUUUUUUGAUAAAAAAUAAAAAACCUUUUAAGAGGAGGUGUAAUUA